RNAcentral lists this ribosomal RNA (253 nucleotides) under uncultured bacterium. RNAcentral describes it as "partial 16S ribosomal RNA". It matches the Rfam family "Bacterial small subunit ribosomal RNA", at positions 524 to 776 of the family's 1533-position model. The record is from RNAcentral.
UACGUAGGGUGCGAGCGUUAAUCGGAAUUACUGGGCGUAAAGCGUGCGCAGGCGGCUGUGCAAGACAGGUGGGAAAUCCCCGGGCUUAACCUGGGAACUGCACUUGUGACUGCAUGGCUGGAGUACGGCAGAGGGGGAUGGAAUUCCGCGUGUAGCAGUGAAAUGCGUAGAUAUGCGGAGGAACACCGAUGGCGAAGGCAAUCCCCUGGGCCUGUACUGACGCUCAUGCACGAAAGCGUGGGGAGCAAACAGG